RNAcentral lists this ribosomal RNA (253 nucleotides) under uncultured bacterium. RNAcentral's name for it is "partial 16S ribosomal RNA". It matches the Rfam family "Bacterial small subunit ribosomal RNA", at positions 524 to 776 of the family's 1533-position model. The record is from RNAcentral.
UACGUAGGGGGCAAGCGUUGUCCGGAAUCAUUGGGCGUAAAGCGCGCGUAGGCGGCCCGGUAAGUCCGCUGUAAAAGUCCAGGGCUCAACCCUGGAAAGCCGGUGGAUACUGUCGGGCUAGAGUCCGGAAGAGGCGAGUGGAAUUCCUGGUGUAGCGGUGGAAUGCGCAGAUAUCAGGAGGAACACCAGUGGCGAAGGCGACUUCCUGGCCUGUUCUUGACGCUGAGGCGCGAAAGCUAGGGGAGCAAACAGG